Molecule: transfer RNA, 68 nt
Filed under: Palaemon capensis
Lineage: Eukaryota; Metazoa; Arthropoda; Malacostraca; Decapoda; Palaemonidae
Description: tRNA-Lys
Source: RNAcentral
CAUUAGGUGACUGAAUAUAAGUGUAAGUCUUUUAAACUUAUUAUAGCAGCUCAACCUGCUCCUAGUGA